CCGGGUUGUGUGUUGUGCUGGGGAGCGCAGCCACGUGUCCGACUCGCACAGAGCCCAACACCCUGUUCUGAGCAGCAGGGACCAAGUCCCAGCUCCUGUCUCUAAAGGUGGUCUGUUAACUCUGCUUCUGACUGUAAACCCUGAUGGGCCAAAGCAUCUUUAACCACCCGAACUAUUCUACACACUGUUAGGUCCAAGGAAAAUGGAAUAUAGAACAAGUUGUUUGGCCAGCUUAGCCAAAGUUAGGCUAACUGUAGUUGCUGGGCCAUUCCUGUCUCUCUCUGAAACAUGAGGACAUGCUUGCUUGGGCUUCAAAGAAUGAGAUAAAGGGGGGGCCGUAUUCUUGUACCAAAUGUACUAGGAACGGUUUGUUUGGACAUAUGGAGACUUACAGUCUCUACUCCCAGUUUCUGUUCUUAACUCCCUCCUUUCUCCUAGUUUCUGGUGCACGACAAAAAAGCUGAUAAGAAGCUGCUGAGGCAUCAUGAACUGUUUGUACUGUCAAAGAACAUAGAUAUGCAUGAAUAUUAGAAGCUUUUAACUAGUAAAGGGGGGGAUUAGGUUGCUUUAACUAUGACGCGACGGAACUGUUUAUAUAAUCUCACUAGUUAUUGUAAUUGUGGCUGGUUCUCUCUGGAGACGGGCCGCUCUCUAUUGUUGUGUGCACUCUUCAAUAAAGAGCUUGUGUUUGGACCUUG
This is a long non-coding RNA of Malaclemys terrapin pileata, 698 nucleotides long. RefSeq lists it as uncharacterized. The record is from RefSeq and is a predicted model, not a curated record. The transcript has 2 exons. Lineage: Eukaryota; Metazoa; Chordata; Testudines; Emydidae.